RNAcentral lists this ribosomal RNA (1324 nucleotides) under Bacillus sp. (in: firmicutes). Its description in RNAcentral is "bacterial SSU rRNA". It matches the Rfam family "Bacterial small subunit ribosomal RNA". Lineage: Bacteria; Bacillati; Bacillota; Bacilli; Caryophanales; Bacillaceae. The record is from RNAcentral.
UUGCUCCCUAGCAGAUCAGCGGCGGACGGGUGAGUAACACGUGGGUAACCUGCCUGUAAGACUGGGAUAACUCCGGGAAACCGGGGCUAAUACCGGAUAAUUUAGUUCCUCGCAUGAGGAACUGUUGAAAGGUGGCUUCGGCUACCACUUUCCGAUGGAACCCCGGCCCCAUAACUUGUUGGGGAAGGUACGGCUCCCCAAGGCCACCAUGCGUAACCCAACUGAAAAGGUGAACGGGCCCCUGGGACUGAAAACCGGCCAAACUUCUACCGGAAGCAGCAGUUAGGAAUCCUCCGCCAUGGACGAAAGUCCGACGGAACCACGGCGCGUGAUUAAGAAAGUUUUCGGAUCUUAACUCUGGUGUUAGGGAGACAAUGCCGUUCGAUAGGGCGCACCUUGACGGUACCUAACCGAAGCCAGGCUAACUACAUGCCACAGCCGCGGUAGUACGUAGUGGCAAGCGUUGUCAGGAAUAGUGGCGUAAGCGCGGCAGUGUUCUAAGUCGAUGGAAGCCACGCUACCUGAGGUCAUGGAACUGGUACUGAUGCAAAGGAAUGCAUCAUACGUGAUGCUACUUAGAGAGCAUGCAGCACUACUUUCCUGGUCUGUAACUGACACUGAGGCGCGAAGCGUGGGGAGCAAACAGGAUUAGAUACCUGGUAGUCCACGCCGUAAACGAUGAGUGCUAAGUGUUAGAGGGUUUCCGCCCUUUAGUGCUGCAGCUAACGCAUUAAGCACUCCGCCUGGGGAGUACGGUCGCAAGACUGAAACUCAAAGGAAUUGACGGGGGCCCGCACAAGCGGUGGAGCAUGUGGUUUAAUUCGAAGCAACGCGAAGAACCUUACCAGGUCUUGACAUCCUCUGACAACCCUAGAGAUAGGGCUUUCCCCUUCGGGGGACAGAGUGACAGGUGGUGCAUGGUUGUCGUCAGCUCGUGUCGUGAGAUGUUGGGUUAAGUCCCGCAACGAGCGCAACCCUUGAUCUUAGUUGCCAGCAUUCAGUUGGGCACUCUAAGAUGACUGCCGGUGACAAACCGGAGGAAGGUGGGGAUGACGUCAAAUCAUCAUGCCCCUUAUGACCUGGGCUACACACGUGCUACAAUGGACGGUACAAAGGGCAGCGAGACCGCGAGGUUUAGCCAAUCCCAUAAAACCGUUCUCAGUUCGGAUUGCAGGCUGCAACUCGCCUGCAUGAAGCUGGAAUCGCUAGUAAUCGCGGAUCAGCAUGCCGCGGUGAAUACGUUCCCGGGCCUUGUACACACCGCCCGUCACACCACGAGAGUUUGUAUCACCCGAAGUCGGUGAGGUAACCUCGGGACACAGCA